ACUCCCUGUAUAUGUAAAUAACAUGCAAUAAAAUCUCUGUUCUUAUCAGCUUAAUAUCUGAUACGGGUCCUAUUUGGACCCAAGAUAUUAAUCUUAUUUUUGGAAUGCGGCGUAGUGCUUGAGGUUUACCUCACCUAUGCCACGGGUUGGCCCGGUAUUGCACUGCCUCCGGGAUCGGCCCACCCCCC
Non-coding RNA from Ixodes scapularis (black-legged tick), 188 nucleotides. Lineage: Eukaryota; Metazoa; Arthropoda; Arachnida; Ixodida; Ixodidae. The record is from Rfam.